GGCACCAAAACUCCAUCCAAUUGAUCAUCACCUCUAUUGCUUCUAUGAGAGCUAAAUUCACAAAUCACAAUGCAUAUCUUUUGUCUUACAUCUACUUAGCCUAAAAUCCUUACUCUGAAAAUUUUUUUCUCCACAACUCCAUUUUUUUGUUAGCUCUUUCACUAGUUUCAUCCAUUAAGAUAAUAUCAUCUACAAAUAACAUACACCAUGAGAUAUCAUUUUAAAUAUGAUUAGUUAGCUCAUCGAUAACUAAGGUAAAUAAAUAUCGAUUCAAAGAUGAUCCCUAAUACACAGCUACUGUUACGGAAAACCUGUUCCUAUCCCCUCUCACUGUUCUUACACUUGUGACCCUCUCUCAUACAUGUCCUUAAUAACAUUUAUAUAUUUGAGAAUGUGAAUAAUAAAGGUGAACUAGUAUCUUAAUGCAUGAAUACAUUAUGCCAAUAUAUGCAUGCACACAAGGAUGCAUCAGAUGUAAAUAAUGUUACAAUAAUAAAUACAUGAAUGUGUGCAUUUUCCAAUGUUAAAC
RNAcentral lists this unclassified non-coding RNA (529 nucleotides) under Hevea brasiliensis (rubber tree). The record is from RNAcentral. Lineage: Eukaryota; Viridiplantae; Streptophyta; Magnoliopsida; Malpighiales; Euphorbiaceae.